RNAcentral lists this ribosomal RNA (497 nucleotides) under uncultured bacterium. Its description in RNAcentral is "partial 16S ribosomal RNA". It matches the Rfam family "Bacterial small subunit ribosomal RNA", at positions 28 to 507 of the family's 1533-position model. The record is from RNAcentral.
GAUGAACGCUGGCGGCGUGCCUAAUACAUGCAAGUCGAGCGAACAGACGAGGAGCUUGCUCCUCUGACGUUAGCGACGGACGGGUGAGUAACACGUGGAUAACCCUCCUAUUAGUCUUGGAUAACUUCGUGAAACCGGAGCUAAUACUGGAUAAUAUAUUGUACCGCAUGGUUCAAUAGUUCAUGACGGUUUUGCUGUUACUUAUAGAUGAUUCCGCGUCGCAUUAGCUAGUUGGUAAGGUAACGGCUUACCAAGGCAACGAUGCGUAGCCGACCUGAGAGGGUGAUCGGCCACACUGGAACUGGGACACGGUCCAGACUCCUACGGGAGGCAGCAGUAGGGAAUCUUCCACAAUGGGCGAAAGCCUGACGGAGCAACGCCGCGUGAGUGAAGAAGGACUUCGGAUCGUAAAACUCUGUUAUUAGGGAAGAACAAAUGCAUAAGUAACUAUGCACGGCUUGACGGUACCUAAACAGUAAGCCACGGCUAACUUCGUG